Molecule: ribosomal RNA, 253 nt
Filed under: uncultured bacterium
Lineage: Bacteria
Description: partial 16S ribosomal RNA
Rfam family: Bacterial small subunit ribosomal RNA
Source: RNAcentral
UACAGAGGUCUCAAGCGUUGUUCGGAUUCAUUGGGCGUAAAGGGUGCGUAGGCGGCGCGGUAAGUCGGGUGUGAAAUUUCGAGGCUUAACUUCGAAACUGCAUUCGAUACUGCCGUGCUAGAGGACUGGAGAGGAGACUGGAAUUUACGGUGUAGCGGUGAAAUGCGUAGAUAUCGUGAGGAACACCAGAGGCGAAGGCGGCUACCUGGACAAUUGCUGACGCUCAGGCACGAAAGCGUGGGGAGCAAAAGGG